This 496-nucleotide ribosomal RNA is filed under the name uncultured bacterium. RNAcentral's name for it is "partial 16S ribosomal RNA". It matches the Rfam family "Bacterial small subunit ribosomal RNA", at positions 28 to 507 of the family's 1533-position model. The record is from RNAcentral.
GAUGAACGCUGGCGGCGUGCCUAAUACAUGCAAGUCGAGCGAACAGACGAGGAGCUUGCUCCUCUGACGUUAGCGGCGGACGGGUGAGUAACACGUGGAUAACCUACCUAUAAGACUGGGAUAACUUCGGGAAACCGGAGCUAAUACCGGAUAAUAUAUUGAACCGCAUGGUUCAAUAGUGAAAGACGGUUUUGCUGUCACUUAUAGAUGGAUCCGCGCCGCAUUAGCUAGUUGGUAAGGUAACGGCUUACCAAGGCGACGAUGCGUAGCCGCCUGAGAGGGUGAUCGGCCACACUGGAACUGAGACACGGUCCAGACUCCUACGGGAGGCAGCAGUAGGGAAUCUUCCGCAAUGGGCGAAAGCCUGACGGAGCAACGCCGCGUGAGUGAUGAAGGUCUUCGGAUCGUAAAACUCUGUUAUUAGGGAAGAACAAAUGUGUAAGUAACUAUGCACGUCUUGACGGUACCUAAUCAGAAAGCCACGGCUAACUACGUG